CCAAUUGUGUCGUCGAUAUUGCUGAUCCAGUCCUCGGAUAGGGGAAUCCUGGUCGAGGUUCAUCCGCUGAGGGUGAGGGCGAAUCUGUGAUGCACAACCAAAUGCUGAUCAUUUUGAUACGCAGUAUGUAGCUCAGCAACCGUACACUGUUUCGUAACCAGAUCGCAGAGCAAAUCUGUGGCGAUCUUCGAGCAAAUCUGUGGCGAUCUUCGAGUAUGCAUGGCGCAUCCCUGAUUGAUAAAUCGGUCAAGGACAUCGACACGCGUCGAGAAGCAACAACGGCCAAUUAUUGGGCAAGAUUGGGCAAGAUGAGGACGAGGGGUGCCGAUUAGGCCAGGCCCAACCUAAACCCAAUCAUCAGCCAAAUCCAAAUGUACCAAACCGGAGCUAAACGCAUUUCGACAGGAGGAAUCAACGCGACAACGGAGGAGCAUCAAAUUGGCAGCAACAUGUCUGAGAUCCAAUUUCAUCAGGAGUAGCAGUACAAAGUUCGCAACAACUUUUCGCGGAUCUGGCAUUUCAGCCCAGACCGGAAAUGAUUUGGGAACAACGCGCUCCAGAUCGGGGAGGCGGCGAAGGGAGGUCACUUUUAAAACCAGAUCCCCCUCCCUUUGCUCUCUUGCCUUCUCCUCCUCGGCAACAACAACAAUGGGGGAACGAAUCCCCAAUCCAAAGAAGAAAAAGAAAAAAAAAGGUCGCGACAGGCAUAUCAUAUACACAUGUAGGCGCACACGGACGGAGCGCCAGAUCUACGGCGAUGUCGGCGGGUCGCUCUCGUCGUCGUCUCCACGGCCUUAGGCGGAGGAGCGGGCGAGGCGGGAUGCGAUGGCGGAGUGGUACAUGGCGUCGUGGAAGGACUCCGUCUGCGCCAUCCGCGCGCGCAGCUCCCGGGCCUUCUCCUCCGUCAGGCCCCCCACGAACGCCCUCCCCGGGGUGGCCGCCGACGCCGCCUCCUUCGCCGCGGGGGCCGGAGCCUCGAUGUAGUCGGCCUUCCCGGACCACCCCAGCAGGGGCGCCCACCACUUGCCGCCGCCCUCCCCGCCACCCGCCGCGGCGCGGGCCACCCCGGCGCCCGCGCUGGCGGCGCGCGGCCGGGCGGAGGAUGCCCCCGCCGGGCGGGCGGGGAAGGAGACGGAGGCGGCGGUUGCGCACGGUGCCAUCGCCAUUUCGGAUCGGUCGGUCGGGCUGUUGCUUGCUUUGGAAUUUGGUGGGUGGGUGCGAGGUGAGGAUGCUGCUGAAGCCUGGGAAAGAAAGAUGAAUGCUGAUGGUGAUGGAGGUGAAGGCCGUAGGGGUGGCGGGGCGUUUAUAGCGGCCGGAUAGGGGAGGGAGGGAUGGGAUGGGCGAGUGGAUAAGACCGCCGCGUGGAUACGUGCGCGGCAUCCUGGUACGGUGUUACAGGCUGUCCAGCAACGGUGGCCCGUCAUGUCACUGACGCGUGGGUCAGGUUGCGGGCUCCGGCUACGGCGUUGGUGUCUUUUUUUUUCUUUCUUUUCGCCGUGACGGUCAUGCCGUUGGGGGCGGUUAACGUUGUUGCGAAGGUAGGGCGAACACGCAAUGUCGUCUUAAUUUAGGUUUUUCUAGAAGAGAUGCUCACGGGGAAAGAGCAACUCCAACAAUAGUUCUUAUAUUGAUUUAAGCCCUAAAGAUUAAAUGGAGAUUCUUUCUAUUUUUUAAAUAGUUCUUAUAUUGAUUUAAGCCCUGAAGAUUAAAUGGAGAUUCUUUCUAUUUUUUAAGAGCCACAAAAAUACUUCCAAAUCAAGCAAUAGCCCUCAUAAAUAGAGGGCUCCCUAGUGACCCCUCAGGAAUGAAACGUGGAGGGGGAAUUUGAAAGCCUCACUAAAAUAGGGAGAUAAGUAGAGAGCUUGUUGGAAUGCAUUUUUUUUACUUGGCCCUCUAAAACUUAGGAUAGGGGGUUGUUUAGAGGAUGUGCUGGAAUUGCUCUAACAAUUUUUGGCAUCAUGAUGAUCUCUAUCUCAUGUUCGAUUCUGAACGAGAUAAAGAUCGAACUAUUUGUUUUGACUUUUCUAGAUACAUACCUUUUGAUAUACAUCUAAAUAUAUAUUAUGUCUAUAUAUAUAGCAAAAGUUAUAUACCUAGAAAAGCUAAAAUAGUAAUUUGUGACGGAGGGAGUAAUUUCUAAGAAUUUGUGUAUGACAUGGAAAAUUUCAAUUCCAUCCAUAUCAUAAUGAUAACAAUUUUUCAAGAUGCCUAAAAAAUGACCAUUGUCAAGUCUUACUGUUGUUAAAGAAUAAAUGCCAGCCACCUAUAUUGUACUCCAUAUUGGCAUAUUCAACUCAAGUAGAUGCCUCUGUCUACGGAGUACAUUUGCAUUUUCAACUCAAGUAGAUGCUUCUAUCUACAUCGUGUGAUUACCGCUUCUCGUUUGUUGACCAAAUUAGGUUUGGCAUCUUUGGUAGAACUUCGGCUCCUUCGAAAAAGACUCCGAUUGCGGUUCCUCUGAUGAAGUUGCUUCUCUAGUAGAGUUGGAACCGUUUUGACGUUUUGAAAAAUGUUUGGCAAAACGGCUUCUCCUAUUUUUCAUGAAUAAUGUCCAUUAUACCCCUCGCUAUCUAACUUCAUUGUAGCGAUUUCAUCUAAAAUAAAAAUGAUUAAUUAGUAUGAUUAUAGAUUAACAAUAAUCUACUUUUUCCUUUUCAUUUCCUUUUCUUUUUAUUAUUUUAUUCUCUCUACCCUUGUAUUUUUUUAUUUUUUUCUCACCUUUUAUUUUCUAUCUUCUCUCUCUCAAUCCAUCAUCCUUAUCCAAUGCUCGCUUCCUCCACCGCACAAGAAUGCUCCUCGGCCCUCGCUCUUCUCUGCCUUGUUGGCCGCUGCCGGCCUGCCGCUUGCGGGCUGCCCCAUGCGCGCGGCUCUGGCACCACCACGUUGCUCUGCUGCUGCUCCACCGCCCAUCUGCAUAGCAGCUGGUGCUCCACCCCUGCAGCUCCUUCAUGCUGUGUCCCUGCUGCUGCUCCACCGCCGUUGGCCGUUGCUCUGCUCUGUAGGCGUCGUGCCGGCUGCUCCAGCUCAGGGGCACCACUUUAGCCCCUGCACGAUGCUCCCCCGAAGCCGCAUGGCCCUAACGGCGACGCAACACUUCCCCAACGGCCCAUGACCCGACGCCAUGCGCUUUGCUGCCGUUUGUGGCAUUUUUAGGUGAAAUAAUCACCAACUCAAAAGGGUAUUCUGGUACGUGCUGGUGUGGGGACGGAGAGGAGCCGGAGGGAGCCAGUAUUUUUGGCUCCACCCCCUAGUUCAAAACCGGCUCCAGCUCCAUCGGUGCUUCAACAGAGGAGCUGCUACCUUUUUUUUUCAGGGCUCUAGCAGAAGCCACGGCGGAGCCCCACCAAAUUGGCCCUUAAUACUCUCCACUUGUUUGUCCUUUCUUCUUCUUUUUUGGAAGAGUUUGUUUGUCCUUAUUGACUUCCAUGGUUGGAAAGUUAGAACUAGGGUCACGCAAGCUGCGAGAACCGCCCUUUUGCCCAAGGUGAAAGGGUGACCAAGGCUUAUCGAAGGGGUAACUCGCCCAGGGGCAGACCCAGUAGAGGUACAUGGGUGUACAUAUGUACACAAAAAAUUUAUCUAGUACAUAUAGGUAUAUCCUAAUAUGUAAAAGUGGGUCAAAACGUGUCUGUCUGAGCCGAAACAAGAAAAACACGCUUGUGGGCCGGCUGUUUGCUCGGCUUGUUGCCUCACGACGUGAAUCCCCUUCUCUGUGAUCCCCGACGUCGUGAAUCGUGAUCCCCAUGCCUCCUCUCCUCUCUCAACUUCUCAUCCAUUUUCUAGUUUGCUGCCGCUAGUGCUAGGGUUAGCUUCCUUCCUUGGCCAUGGUUGUCCCCAUCCAUCGGUGCCUGCUAUAUGGAAGAGGAGCGCAAGAGCAGAGGGCUGAUCUGACAUGGGGUUUGUGCGCCAUGCCUUCUGCACAGCCGGCCAUAGCAAGGGCGGAACAAGUCACAGCGUGACAUCAACGGCCAUGGCAAGUGUGGAAGGGUCGGAAGCAUCGCCGGCCCCAGCAAGCACAAACACAGAGGAGGCAGAGCCCAUAUCGAGGGCAUUUUGCUUUGUUUGCUAUCAGGGAUACAAAUUCUAAGGGUGGAAGGGCCUGUUUGGUUUGAGUUGCUUAUUAUAAGCAACUUAAAGUUGUUUAUUUGGAGUUGCUUAUUUUUAGUCUAGCUGUUUGGAUACCCUUGCUUAUGAGCAUUGAAUGAGAUGGACAUUGUCAUAUUUGCCCCUUAUGUUGCUACCCCUCUUUUUUGCCUCCCACACUUCUUCUUCCUGCACACGCCCGAUCCCGGGGGCCGGCAGCGGGCAGGGAGCAGCAGCAGCUGGCCGGGGCGACGGUGGGGCGGGAGUGGCGAUGGAGCGGCGGCGGUGGGGCGGGAGCGGCGGGCGGCGGCCGGGGGCGGCGGCCGGGGGCGGCGGCCGGGAGCGGCAGCGGGUCUGCGUGGAGGCGGGUGGCGCGGAGGCAGGCGGCGGGCGGCGCGGAGGUGGGCGGCGGCGGGUGGCCCGGAGGAAUGGGAGCUGGUGAGUGGUGACGGGGGAGGGGGGAGAGAGAGAGAGGUAGAGUGCAUUGAACGAGGGCAGGAGGUGUAAAGUGCCCCUUUUAGUCCCCAUAAGCAGCUCUUGUGUUGCUUAUGGGCUAAAAAUAAGCAACCCCAUAAGCAAGAGUGAUUAGUUUCAUAAGUAACUUAUUUGCUUAUGCAUAAGUAUGUGAAACCAAACAGGUCCGAAAUAGUUUUCGGCUUUGAUUUUUGUGAAGAACAAGCUAAGAAAUAACACGAGGGGCGCUUCAAUAUUUAAAUGAUUGUUUGAUUACAUUUAUCGAGAAGGAACUUUCCUACAACAGACAUCAUCUCCCGUUUCCAAAAGCUGCCUCAUCGAGUUAAUUUGUAAUUUUUUAUAAGUUGAUGGUUUCAAAAUAUUGUAUGAAUACUAGAUUAAGGAACUAUUUAUACUAUACCAUGUAGCCUUUAACCUUUAUUUUCAUGAACCUUUAUCUUUUAUAUGCGAUGAUUGUUUGGUUCGUCACUAUGUAUACACACUCAAUCUUGAAUUCCUGCGCCUGCCACUGAACUUGCCCAUGCGGUCCUCUUGGAAGAAAGAAUUCAGCAGUGCGAUUAUUUGGACAUCCCAAUAAGCAGGCACUAGUGGUGUGACUUUCAAGAGGUUUCGCGGCACGGAUUCAUGGUAGCAAAUGGGAGCAAGGAUGCGUAGGGAGCAAAUAAUUUAUUACAUCUUGAAGUCAACUAAAAUAAAAAUGACGUGUAGAGAAGUAAUUUAUGGUUAGUAAAACUCGGUUUUUUGUCGUUGAAAACUCUCGAGAAAUUAUUCACCCGCAUUACUUGUUUCCUUUCACAAAUUUCCCUUCCUUCAAGAAGGUAGCCCCUGGCGGAUGUUUGAAUUUGUUCGGCUGCGCUGCAGGUGUUUUGCGUGCGCGUAUGCUCGGUCCGUGUGUUUCUCUAGAAAAGAUUGGCAUGCGACAUCGUAGUGCCUUUUACAUGGGACUCGGGCCGAUGUGGAACGGAAAGCCGAGAGCCACGAGUUGGUCAUCAAGAGAGAAUGACCCGGAUGGCCGCAGAUCAGGUGAGCAUUGAGAAUCGUCGUCUCGGAUCCUCGUCAGGUGGUCACGGUCCGUGAGGUCUGUGGACCACAGUGUCUGGUAGGUACUCCGUGCGGCGGGGCCUGGCUGCUUCGGCGCGCGUGCCAAGUGCCGGUCCGCGCCGCGUCACGGGCACCGACCGCGUCCCCGGCUCCCGCUCCGAGCCGAGUCAGCGCCACGCUGCUGCUGACACUUGAUGUCAAAACGUACGGGAGGGAGGGAGGGAGGGAGGAGGCGGCUCGAUGGCAACUCCGGCGGUGGGAGCCUCAUCCACGGCUUGUGUUGAUAGACGAUGCAAAAGCAGGGGAUCAUCAUCACACAUCUAAGCACCAAUCGGAUCAAAACAACAAAGUUUGUGAUGAUGUAAACCACAUUAAGCCGAGAUCACAGCACCAUCCGUACAUCCACGGUAAAAUGCGGAGUCAGAGAUGGACCAGAACGGGGUCGCGCGCUAAAACCGGAACCCCGUCCCGCUCCUCCUCGACAACGACUACCACUACCAGUCUACUACUACUAUGUACACGCGGCGCCGGCGAGUUCCUCGUCCCCGCGGCGGCGGCCUACUGGCCCUAGGCGGAGCGCGCGAGACGGGACGCGAUGGCGGAGUGGUACAUGGCGUCGUGGAACGACUCCGUCUGCGCCAUCCGCGCCCGCAGCUCGCGGGCCUUCUCCUCCGUCAGCCCCCCCACGAACUGCCUCCGGGCCGCCGCCGCGCCGUCCUGCGCCACCGCCACCACCGGCGCCGGGGCCUCCAGGUAGUCGGCCUUCCCCGACCACCCCACCAGCGGCGCCCACCACUUGCCGCCGCCCUCCGCCGACCCGGCGGCCGCGCGGACCACCCCGGCUCCUGCCGCGGCGCCGCGGGGCCGGAAGACGGCUGCGCCACCCGCCGGGGUGGCGGGGAACGAGACGGCGUGUGAGGACGGUGCCAUCGCCAUUGGAUCUGUGUUGGUUGUUUCUCUUGCCCUGACCGGGUGCAGUGCAGUUGCUUGAUUGCUUUUUGCUUGAAGGGAAACGAGGAUGGAUGGAUGGAUGUCUAUGGCUUGGGGACGGUGGGGAACUUAUAGCGAUCGGAGCGGGGAGGGAAGGGAAGCGAUGGGGACGACGAGCGAGCGGAUAAGACCGCCGCGUGGCCACGCGGCGUCGAUCCCUGCACGGGUCCGUUACGCGUCGCACGGCCUCAUGGGCCGUGGUACACCUGUACUCCUGUACAGCGAACGACGGUUACCCUGCCAAUAAUUGCUCCUCUGCAAUAACCGCUUUCCUGAGCCACCGACAGCUGCCGUUGUUUCUUUACUUUCCUGAGCCACCGACAGCUGGGCCCGUCCAGGUGGUGGCUAAUAGGGGGCAGUGGUCUCUUUUGGCCGUUUCAUUGCCGUGACGGUGGUGCCAGCUCGAGCGGUUAAUGGUUGUUGCCCCACGCGAUAGGAGUGCGUAAACUAUCGUCGGACGUCGGACGGGGCUAGCAUCGGACGCAUCACUUUGUUUAUUCUCUCCUGCAAACCGUGUGCGAGUGUCCGGGGAUAGGUCCGCGUUAUAACGUUCUACACGUUUUUCUUUCUUAAUACAUAUAAAGAUACGUAGCUUUCCUGCGUAUUUACGAAAAAAAAUUCUCUCCACACAGCUCUUAGUGCAAGCACGCACCUACCUCUUCUACCCGCAUCAGCUAUGCCAUGAAAAUAGCUGCUGCAGCGUAUGCACGGGAGAUAAGGUAAGGCGGCAGGGGAUCUCUGAAUCAAGCGAUCUGACCACGGUUCCUGAGCGUUGUGGAGGCAACAGCCUUGGCACAGCCCUGGAGGUGGACGAGGCGCACGACCUCGGCGGCAUCUGCCAUUCUAAACAUCAGCAGGACAGAAGCUGCGAGGAGUACUGGAUAGGGGAGCAAAACAAGAAGAGGAUAAAGUUGACCGACCAAAGGAGCAGCGAAGGGUCAUGUGGAUGGAAUCCUGGUCAAGGUUCAUCUGCUGAGGGUGAGGGCGAAUCUGUGAUGCACAACCAAAUGCUGAUCAUUUUGAUACGCAGUAUGUAGCUCAGCAACUGUACACUGUUUCGUAACCAAAUCGCAGAGCAAAUCUGUGGUGAUUUUCGAGUAUGCAUGGCGCAUCACUGAUUGAUAAAUGGGUCAUGGACAUCGACACGCGUCGAGAAGCAACAACGGCCAAUUAUUGGGCAAGAUGAGGAUGAGGGGUGCCGAUUAGGCCAGGCCCAACCUAAGCCCAAUCAUCAAUCAAGAUCAGCCAAAUCCAAAUGUACCAAACCGGAGCUAAACACAUUUUGACAGGAGGAAUCAACGCGACAACGGAGGAGCAUCAAAUUGGCAGCAACAAUGUCUGAGAUCCAAUUUCAUCAGGAGUAGCAGUACAAAGUUUGCAACAACUUUUCGCGGAUCUGGCAUUUCAACGCAGACCGAAAUGAUUUGGGAACAACGUGCUCCAAACCAGGGAGGCGGCGAAGGGAGGUCACUUUUAAAACCAGAUCCCCCU
This 8079-nucleotide long non-coding RNA is filed under the name Setaria viridis. RNAcentral's name for it is "long non-coding RNA (SVIR_LNC002613)". Lineage: Eukaryota; Viridiplantae; Streptophyta; Magnoliopsida; Poales; Poaceae. The record is from RNAcentral.